Molecule: unclassified non-coding RNA, 218 nt
Filed under: uncultured Sphingomonadaceae bacterium
Lineage: Bacteria; Pseudomonadati; Pseudomonadota; Alphaproteobacteria; Sphingomonadales; Sphingomonadaceae
Description: contains 16S-23S intergenic spacer region
Rfam family: Bacterial small subunit ribosomal RNA
Source: RNAcentral
AGCGUUUGACAUGGUAGGACGGUUUCCAGAGAUGGAUUCCUUCCCUUACGGGACCUACACACAGGUGCUGCAUGGCUGUCGUCAGCUCGUGUCGUGAGAUGUUGGGUUAAGUCCCGCAACGAGCGCAACCCUCGUCUUUAGUUGCCACCAUUUAGUUGGGCACUCUAAAGAAACUGCCGGUGAUAAGCCGGAGGAAGGUGGGGAUGACGUCUUCUACG